AUUGAACGCUGGCGGCAUGCCUUACACAUGCAAGUCGAACGGUAACAGGUCUUCGGAUGCUGACGAGUGGCGAACGGGUGAGUAAUACAUCGGAACGUGCCUAGUAGUGGGGGAUAACUACUCGAAAGAGUGGCUAAUACCGCAUGAGAUCUACGGAUGAAAGCAGGGGAUGGCAAGACCUUGUGCUACUAAAGCGGCCGUGGGCGGAUUGGGUAGUUGGGGGGUAAAAAGCUUACCAAGCCGACGAUCUGUAGCUGGUCUGAGAGGACGAUCAGCCACACUGGGACUGAGACACGGCCCAGACUCCUACGGGAGGCAGCAGUGGGGAAUUUUGGACAAUGGGCGAAAGCCUGAUCCAGCAAUGCCGCGUGCAGGAUGAAGGCCUUCGGGUUGUAAACUGCUUUUGUACGGAACGAAAAGCCCCGGGUUAAUACCCUGGGGUCAUGACGGUACCGUAAGAAUAAGCACCGGCUAACUACGUGCCAGCCGCCGCAGUAA
RNAcentral lists this ribosomal RNA (498 nucleotides) under uncultured bacterium. RNAcentral's name for it is "partial 16S ribosomal RNA". It matches the Rfam family "Bacterial small subunit ribosomal RNA", at positions 30 to 523 of the family's 1533-position model. The record is from RNAcentral.